Molecule: long non-coding RNA, 91 nt
Organism: Sinocyclocheilus anshuiensis
Lineage: Eukaryota; Metazoa; Chordata; Actinopteri; Cypriniformes; Cyprinidae
Exons: 3
Source: RefSeq, a predicted model, not a curated record
GUGUGUCUGUCAACUACAGCAAUCCGCUCCAGCCAGUCAGUCCGUCUGCGCCUGUGCCUGUGAAAGAGCUGCUUGCCUCUGGGAGGGUGGG